Heterocephalus glaber (naked mole-rat) is the source of this 757-nucleotide long non-coding RNA. RefSeq lists it as uncharacterized. The record is from RefSeq and is a predicted model, not a curated record. Lineage: Eukaryota; Metazoa; Chordata; Mammalia; Rodentia; Bathyergidae.
GCGGGGCGCGGUCGCACCACGUGGUCCCGGCGGCCCGACUGCUGGGGCGGCGCCUCCGCCGCUGAUCUCGUCGCGCGGGGCCGCGGUGACAGUGGGCGUCUCGGCGCGGGAUUUUUUAACGAGGUGUGAUCAAAAUAUACGGUGAGUCUUUCUUAAUGGCUGUAGUGAAAGGGGCGUGGCCAGGAACCGCUCAAACCCUCCCUCGCUUCGAACUGGCCCUCUCCGCGCGUCUCUGGAGGUGUCCAGGAAUACGCCAGGCGCUGCCGCCCUCGCCGUUCACCAGGAGGCAGCUCCUAAAAACAGGACGCUGCGACCUCAUCCACCGUGUUCUCCGGAUCUGCUGCCCUGCGACUCUGGCUCCUCCCGAGUGAGUGACCACGGAAGGGAAACAUCCAUUCAGGACCUGGAGGCGGCCGGGACAGCGCAGCCGAUGAUGCUCCGGAAAGAGGACUCCGGGGUUGCUGCACCAACCGCAGCGGAGACGAAGCCCCAGGGCCUGGCCUGAGCGGUCAGCCACGCCUCGGGGUCAGUUGACAGAGGAGCUCCGGGGGCCUGGAGACCGGGAGAGCGCGCCUCACCUGGGGGAGCCUCCUCCGGUCCUUCCCGGACCUCGGCCGAGGCGGCUGCAGUUGGGAGGGGGGGAAUGCCAUCAGCGCAAGGCCAAAGCGAUGCCCGAAUAUGACGACGUUUCCUUCUCUGGCAAGGAUGACUCCAGCUACAUUUGAACACAGCAAAUAAAAACUUCACCACAUCACCA